Esox lucius (northern pike) is the source of this 1191-nucleotide long non-coding RNA. NCBI's taxonomy places the organism in Eukaryota, Metazoa, Chordata, Actinopteri, Esociformes, Esocidae. The record is from Ensembl.
GAAGCUCUGUUUCCUCAUUCUGUAACUCAAGAUCAAAUUAGUUUUGUAUUACAAGAGCUGCAACCAUGGAUAUGUUAACUAUCAUUAUCCUGAUGGUUCUUUUGAGAAAAUGUCAUGGGAACACUUAUCUACACUUCCAAGAAGAAGAAGAAGAAGAAGGAGAAAUAACAAUACCAUUCCAGUGUGAACAGGGACUUUGGCAAAUUGACAUAAACAACGACAACAUAGUGGAUUAUAACUGCAGUAUUACCAAGGAAAAUAUGUGGAAAGAAUGUGAACUUAAGGACUUUAAGUUGGUUAAAAAGACAGAAGAAAAUGUAUUUCUGUUGGAAACAGACAGCAGCGCAAUCUUGGGAUGUGUUCACAAUCACACUUCAAUAUCUAUAUUUCCCUUUAUUUUGUCAAGAGACCAGGUGGAUUCCUUUAUCGUGGCAUUUACUAAACCAGAGAUGGUGAGUGGUGGGCCUGAUGUGGAAACAAAAACCAUUGUCACCAAGCGCCAAGAAGAAACAGUCGAUCUUAUAUGUAAUUUCAAAUUAACUGAUCAAUAUUCUAAAGGUUACAUUUGUGUGUACUGGAUUAAGAUCACAAAUGAAAGAAGUACAUGUAUUUAUUCAUUUUCUUUGGGCGAUUAUGGAGAACAAGAAUAUUACCGUCACUGUCCAGUUGAUGAAUCCCUGCAUAAAAGAAUGUCAAAUACUUCAUCUGCAAACAAAGAAAAUCAUUGUCUUAAAAUCAACCAAGUGACACAUUCAGACAGUGGACAGUAUGUGUGUGCCUUAUAUGUACAGGAAAAUGAGAACAAAUGGUAUGGAAAAGUGAUCUCUAAUAUCACGGUCACUGUAAAAGACAACAGCACCUCCACAAACCAGUCACAUGGUGAGUUACAGUCCACUUUCAACACUAAUGCAACAAAUGAUCAUGCUUAAGUAAUACUCUGUUGAUGUUGAUUCUAUAAGUUUUGUGUUUUAGAUAAGAAUAACCUCAUCAUACUGUAUGUAGUGAGAGCUCUAUUGCUCUUCUGCCUCUUUGCUACUGUCAUUGUCAUGAGGAAAAAGACCAAGAAAUCCCAAGCAGAAAAUCAAAGUCUGGGAAUGAACAGAAACCAAGAUAGAGAGGAGACACUUGACUGACAAAGCAUGGUCACGAGAUGGCGCUAUUGGUCAGACGAAUAUUCAAUUAGACGAAGAU